Molecule: ribosomal RNA, 428 nt
Filed under: uncultured bacterium
Lineage: Bacteria
Description: bacterial SSU rRNA
Rfam family: Bacterial small subunit ribosomal RNA
Source: RNAcentral
AGUGAACGCUGGCGGCGUGCUUAACACAUGCAAGUCGAACGAGAACGGUCCUUCGGGAUGUCAGCUAAGUGGCGGACGGGUGAGUAAUGUAUAGUUAAUUUGCCCCUUAGAGGGGGAUAACAGUUGGAAACGACUGCUAAUACCCCAUACUCCUAUAUACUUAAUGUAUAUAGGGAAAGUUAUUUCGCUAAGGGAUAAGACUAUAUGGUAUCAGCUAGUUGGUGAGGUAAUGGCUCACCAAGGCAAUGACACCUAGCUGGUCUGAGAGGAUGAUCAGCCACACUGGAACUGAGACACGGUCCAGACUCCUACGGGAGGCAGCAGUGGGGAAUAUUGCACAAUGGGGGAAACCCUGAUGCAGCAACGCCGCGUGGAGGAUGACACAUUUCGGUGCGUAAACUCCUUUUAUAUGGGAAGAUAAUGACGGU